CUCCUUGUAGUUCAAUGGAUAGAACGGGCGCCUCCUAAGCGCCAGAUACAGGUUCGAUUCCUGUCGAGGGGA
This 72-nucleotide transfer RNA is filed under the name Azoarcus sp. Its description in RNAcentral is "tRNA-Arg". It matches the Rfam family "tRNA". Rfam says of the family: Transfer RNA (tRNA) molecules are approximately 80 nucleotides in length. Their secondary structure includes four short double-helical elements and three loops (D, anti-codon, and T loops). Further hydrogen bonds mediate the characteristic L-shaped molecular structure. tRNAs have two regions of fundamental functional importance: the anti-codon, which is responsible for specific mRNA codon recognition, and the 3' end, to which the tRNAs corresponding amino acid is attached (by aminoacyl-tRNA synthetases). tRNAs cope with the degeneracy of the genetic code in two manners: having more than one tRNA (with a specific anti-codon) for a particular amino acid; and 'wobble' base-pairing, i.e. permitting non-standard base-pairing at the 3rd anti-codon position. Lineage: Bacteria; Pseudomonadati; Pseudomonadota; Betaproteobacteria; Rhodocyclales; Zoogloeaceae. The record is from RNAcentral.